RNAcentral lists this ribosomal RNA (491 nucleotides) under uncultured bacterium. RNAcentral's name for it is "partial 16S ribosomal RNA". It matches the Rfam family "Bacterial small subunit ribosomal RNA", at positions 29 to 506 of the family's 1533-position model. The record is from RNAcentral.
AGUGAACGCUGGCGGUAGGCCUAACACAUGCAAGUCGAACGGCAGCACAGUAAGAGCUUGCUCUUACGGGUGGCGAGUGGCGGACGGGUGAGGAAUACAUCGGAAUCUACUUUUUCGUGGGGGAUAACGUAGGGAAACUUACGCUAAUACCGCAUACGACCUACGGGUGAAAGCAGGGGAUCUUCGGACCUUGCGCGAUUGAAUGAGCCGAUGUCGGAUUAGCUAGUUGGCGGGGUAAAGGCCCACCAAGGCGACGAUCCGUAGCUGGUCUGAGAGGAUGAUCAGCCACACUGGAACUGAGACACGGUCCAGACUCCUACGGGAGGCAGCAGUGGGGAAUAUUGGACAAUGGGCGCAAGCCUGAUCCAGCCAUACCGCGGGGGUGAAGAAGGCCUUCGGGUUGUAAAGCCCUUUUGUUGGGAAAGAAAAGCAGCAGGUUAAUACCCCGCUGUUCUGACGGUACCCAAAGAAGAAGCACCGGCUAACUUCGU